GUCGAACGAUGAUAGAGAGCUUGCUUUUCUUGAUUAGUGGCGCACGGGUGAGUAAUGCAUAGAUAAUGUGCCCCUUAGUUCGGGAUAGCCACUGGAAACGGUGAUUAAUACCGGAUACUCCUUCUUGUUAUAAGACAAGUCGGGAAAGUUUUUCGCUAAGGGAUCAGUCUAUGUUCCAUCAGCUUGUUGGUGAGGUAAUGGCUCACCAAGGCUAUGACGGAUAUCUGGUUUGAGAGGAUGAUCAGACACACUGGAACUGAGACACGGUCCAGACUCCUACGGGAGGCAGCAGUGAGGAAUAUUGCACAAUGGAGGAAACUCUGAUGCAGCAACGCCGCGUGGAGGAUGACGCAUUUCGGUGUGUAAACUCCUUUUAUUAGGGAAGAUAAUGACGGUACCUAAUGAAUAAGCACCGGCUAACUCCGUGCCAGCAGCCGCGGUAAUACGGAGGGUGCAAGCGUUACUCGGAAUCACUGGGCGUAAAGGGUGCGUAGGCUGGCUUUUAAGUCAGAUGUGAAAUCCAAUGGCUCAACCAUUGAACUGCAUUUGAAACUGAAAGCCUAGAGUUCAGAAGGGGCAGAUGGAAUUAGUGGUGUAGGGGUAAAAUCCGUAGAUAUCACUAGGAAUAUCAAAAGCGAAGGCGAUCUGCUGGGAUGAU
Molecule: ribosomal RNA, 658 nt
Filed under: uncultured bacterium
Lineage: Bacteria
Description: bacterial SSU rRNA
Rfam family: Bacterial small subunit ribosomal RNA
Source: RNAcentral